Canis lupus familiaris (dog) is the source of this 652-nucleotide long non-coding RNA. RefSeq lists it as uncharacterized. Lineage: Eukaryota; Metazoa; Chordata; Mammalia; Carnivora; Canidae. The record is from RefSeq and is a predicted model, not a curated record. The transcript is spliced from 2 exons.
CUCUCCAGUUUUCAGAACAAUGAGAAAGCACACAAUGUCCUCUCAGAGCUGUUAGCUCCCUCCUAGUGUUCCUUCUCUCUGCUCUCUCACUGAAAGAAUGUUCAGCUUUCUGCAUAGCUUCUGGCCUCCCUUGUGUCUAGGUGUAGCCACAUGACUUGCUCCAUUCUGGUCCCUGAGACAUGAUAGGAUGGAAUAUGGCCUGUUCUCUCCUUCCUGCUUGCAGAAACAGAGAGGGGACGUUAGAGGAGCCUGACUAGUGAUCUCAGACUCUGAGACGGGAGGUGCUUCACGAGGAUGACUGAACCGACAAAAGUUGUCUGCGUCCUCAUGCUGUGGAGCUGCCUUAGCCACUCGAGGCGGCUCACGUUUGGACUGAGACGAAAGAAAUAAACUUCAGUCUUGAAGGAAGUAACCUUCCCUGGGCUUGCUACUGCACGUGCCUGAAGACCUCUCUAGAGACAGAUUUCCUACAGCUGAAGCCUGUGUUACUGUCCAGUAGUACACAUGAGCAACAUAAGACUGCAUCUACCAUAAAACCAGAAAACUUACAAGAAGUGUCAGCCAUUUCGAAUCUGUGUUUGUCUCAAUUGAGUUUUAUAGGAGUGGUGAUUAGAAAAAGAUCAUAUAAUAAAACAUGCCUGUAGUGUAAUUA